UCUACAGCUUCUAUUCACCCUUUCAUGUUCUAUGCCUGCAUGCUCCAGAUGACUUAUCACAAGCCAAGCACAAUUGGAAGACAAACAGCAGUCAUGUGUCCCGGCCAUCCUUUUCAUCUUUCCUUAUUUCACAGAAAACAACGGAGGUCCCCCGUGAACUCAGCUGACCCACAGAAGAGAAACACCAUCACCAAGGUGGAAGAGCCUGUGUAGGAGGAGUGCUAAGCAGAAGGGGAGAAAACGAGAAGAUUACAGGGAGCCACCUGCCUUCUGCAGAACCCUCAACUGCAUCCACAGAGAACAUCAUUUCAGAGCUUCAUGACAGGUCUAAGUCUGCCUCCCUCUGAGGCCUGAGUUUCCUCCCUGGAUUUUUUUUCUUUCCCAUACAUCUACAACCUAUAUGCUUCCACAAGAUCUGUGGAUCCAUUCAUGAUGCUACCCCAGUUCACCCGCAUGAUGUCUCUCAGGAAGACUGAAAACCUGGUAACCCUCUGAUUUAAAUGUUUCAAAGACAACCCAAAAUAAA
Long non-coding RNA from Mus musculus (house mouse), 526 nucleotides. RefSeq annotates it as predicted gene, 32177. Lineage: Eukaryota; Metazoa; Chordata; Mammalia; Rodentia; Muridae. The transcript has 3 exons. The record is from RefSeq and is a predicted model, not a curated record.